RNAcentral lists this transfer RNA (77 nucleotides) under Desulforapulum autotrophicum HRM2. RNAcentral's name for it is "tRNA-Met (CAT) (tRNA-Met-CAT-1-1)". It matches the Rfam family "tRNA". From Rfam's summary of the family: Transfer RNA (tRNA) molecules are approximately 80 nucleotides in length. Their secondary structure includes four short double-helical elements and three loops (D, anti-codon, and T loops). The record is from RNAcentral. RNAcentral also lists the same sequence under 2 other names. Lineage: Bacteria; Pseudomonadati; Thermodesulfobacteriota; Desulfobacteria; Desulfobacterales; Desulfobacteraceae.
GGCGAUGUAGCUCAGAUGGUUAGAGCACACGGCUCAUAUCCGUGGUGUCCGGGGUUCGAUUCCCUGCAUCGCUACCA